Molecule: ribosomal RNA, 1219 nt
Filed under: uncultured Rhizaria
Lineage: Eukaryota
Description: SSU rRNA
Rfam family: Eukaryotic small subunit ribosomal RNA
Source: RNAcentral
CGGUAAUUCCAGCUCCAAUAGCGUAUACUAAAGUUGUUGCAGUUAAAAAGCUCGUAGUUGGAUUUCUGCGGGGACGGAGCGGCCGGACGCAACUUGCGUCUCGAGCUAGCGCUUUCCCCGCAUCCUGCCGCGAACCGUGCUACCAUUAGUUUGGUGGCGCCGGGGAUCGGCUCGAUUACUUUGAGAAAAAUAGAGUGUUCAAAGCAGGCCACACGCCUUGAAUAAGUUAGCAUGGAAUAAUGACUAAGGACUUUGGUUCUUUUCGUUGGUGUUCGGGACUGAAGUAAUGAUUGAUAGGGACAGUUGGGGCGGUCCGUAUUCCAAAGCGAGAGGUGAAAUUCUUAGACCUUCGGAAGACGAACAGCUGCGAAAGCGUUCCGCAAGGAUGUUCCCUUUGAUCAAGAACGAAAGUUGGGGGAUCGAAGACGAUCAGAUACCGUCGUAGUCUCAACUAUAAACUAUACCAGCUAGGGAUCGGCCAACGUUUAACUUUAUCGACUUGGUCGGCACCUUAUGAGAAAUCAAAGCAUCUGGGUUCCGGGGGGAGUAUGGUCACAAGGCUGAAACUUAAAGGAAUUGACGGAAGGGCACCACCAGCCGUGGAGCCUGUGGCUUAAUUUGACUCAACACGGGAAAACUUACCAGGUCCAGACAUAGGAAGGAUUGACAGAUUGAUAGCUCUUUCUUGAUUCUGUGGGUGGUGGUGCAUGGCCGUUUUUAGUCGGUGGAUGUGAUCUGUCUGCUUAAUUGCGUUAACGGACGAGACCCCAGCCUGCUAAAUAGCGCGGCCGAGCUUUGCUCGGUGCGAGCUUCUUAGAGGGACCAUGAUGCGCGAUAGCACAAGGAAGUUUGGGGCAACAACAGGUCUGUGAUGCCCUUAGAUGUUCUGGGCCGCACACGGGCUACACUGGCGCCUGCAACGAGCAUAUCAGCUGGCCCGAGAGGGUCUUGGCUAAUCUUUGGAACCGGCGCCGUGCUUGGGAUUGACCAUUGCAAUUGUUGGUCAUGCAACGAGGAAUGCCUUGUAAACGCGAGUCAUCAGCUCGCAUUGAAUACGUCCCUGCCCUUUGUACACACCGCCCGUCGCUCCUACCGAUGAAUGUUCCGAUGAAAUUUUCGGAGAGCACCAGAGAACGGGGCUCUGCCUUGCAGAACUGGAGGCUCAAAGUCACUUAAAUCUGAACAUUUCGAGGAAGGAGAAGUCGUAACAAGGUAGCCG